UUGAAAUUGCAGCUUUUCUUUUCUAAAAACUUCUAUAUCGUGCAGCAUAGUUGGAUCACGGCUACUUGCGCAAGUUAUCAAGGCAGAUAUCACAAACGAGCUGUUCGAUUAUAAAGGUUUUACUGACACCAAUAACGAUUUUAUGACAACUACUCUUUUGUCUAAAUUGCAAUAUUUGUGGAUGUGGUUGUACCUAUUUGCUGGCUAAUAACAAUAAGCUUUGAGUGAGACCUAUGGCAGCUAACGUUACAGUUUAGCUGCUAACCAGCAAAGUUGCACAUGCUUUUCAAUCCGGUUGGUUCCUGUGCUGCUUGAAGGACAGCAAUAUGUCCUGACCUACAGGUUCAGCCAAGACCACUUGGAGCUUCUCUUCAACUCCAUCAGAGCAUCUGCCAGUUCAAGUACAUCUUUAGGAUGUAAUGCUGAUGGCCCAGUGUGGGGUUGUUAAACCAUGCAGAGGCAAUGUGACGGCACAGGAUGACACAGAGUCCCUACCAGCUGUCAUCGACACCUCUACAAGCCUGUCAGCUGUAGAUGUGUCCUCUGCAGCAGGAGAAGAUCUUCCAUCCCCGUUUGCUGACAUUCCUGCCCUAGUACAUGAACACAGCUACCUCCCCAAUCCACUUCGAUGGUCUUGUGGACAACGCUCUCAUGAUUUGUUGUGCGACAGGCUCUGAAGAAGCUGUCGUGUGAUGUCUGCCGUGCCAGCCUGGUGACAGAUGCUGCAUCUGCCAUCAAGGACCAGAGCUACCACCUGCUGAAUUUAAAAACAAUGGAGGUCUGGUGAUUCCAUCAGAGGGAACCGUGCGGGUCGUCAGGGCAGCAGAGUGGGUCAUUCGGUAGUCAUCAGGCAGUACCAGACGAUCACAGCCCAUCAAACUGCUUGAGGUUGUUUACAUUGUCUGAAAAAGGAUUGGUUCAGAGGAUGUGUUUGUGUUGGGAUAGACAGUAUGGGAUAGACAGCCACCACCAUAGGCUGUUAAAAAUAAUUCUGUCCCUGUUUAAGUUAAGGCUGCACCACAUCGCCAGAAUUACAAUCCUCAGCUUACAGAGCAACAGCAUGUGACAUAAACUUAUAAAACUGUCCUUUUCAAAGGGCAUUAGCCCAAGGUAUGUGUUUUCAAGGUACUGUCCUCUCUUACUUCAACAGUAGGUUAGUGCUCUCUACAGCAUUUCUUUUUUUGGAUAUUUGUAAAGGGGAAUCAUGUACCUAUGUCACUCUUAUAAUAGUUUAAAAAUAGAGACUUGUGUAAUUAUUCCAUAUUUUUUGUAGUCAUUCUAUAUCAGAA
This is a long non-coding RNA of Esox lucius (northern pike), 1289 nucleotides long. Lineage: Eukaryota; Metazoa; Chordata; Actinopteri; Esociformes; Esocidae. The record is from Ensembl.